Molecule: ribosomal RNA, 274 nt
Filed under: uncultured bacterium
Lineage: Bacteria
Description: partial 16S ribosomal RNA
Rfam family: Bacterial small subunit ribosomal RNA
Source: RNAcentral
AUACGGAAGGUGCAAGCGUUACUCGGAAUCACUGGGCGUAAAGCGCGCGCAGGCGGCUAUUUAAGUUGGAUGUGAAAGCCUACGGCUCAACCGUAGAACUGCAUCCAAAACUAUUUAGCUAGAGUGUGGGAGAGGAAGAUGGAAUUAGUUGUGUAGGGGUAAAAUCCGUAGAGAUAACUAGGAAUACCAAAAGCGAAGGCAAUCUUCUGGAACACUACUGACGCUGAGGCGCGAAAGCGUGGGGAGCAAACAGAAUUAGAUACCCUAGUAGUCC